UUCAUUCUCAGCACCGACAUUACAAACCCUAGAAGAUCAUCCUCCUCGCCAACUUCGCAGCAAACCGCGACAAACGUCACCGACGACGGCGAAAAAACUCCACCUCAACAGCAAAUUGGCGACGAACACAUCUACUCAUUGCCCGUUCGAGGGAAAAAUCGUGGGAAAUUCCAUAACCAUCACCAAAUCGACAAAACCCUAAAUCGCUCUCCACCUUUUACGCCUCAACCAUUAAAAUCGGAGAAACAAAAGCCGUUUAUGGAGUUAUUUUCCUCCACUUCCGCGAACUUCAGCGCCUCAAACACAGAAUCAGCGACGAAACCUAAAUCAUCCGAAUCUCACUGCUUGACCAGAAUCGGAGAAAUCGAAGCCGUGGAAGCCGUCUACAGCGUUAUUUUCCUCCACUGCUGCUAACCCUGAACCCUAACUUAACAGCCUCAAACACUGAUUCAGCGACGUAAGCACAAAUCCUAAGUAUCUAAUCGCCUGCACCGAUGAACACGGACAAGCAGAAGACGCAAAGGGAGACGAAAUCCUAUCCAUCACCAGAAAAAGGCGAUAAAAUGGCAAGUUUGUUGAACAAAAUUGAAAACAAAAGGAAGAAGCAUUUACAAAAAUAUAGCAGAUUGUGAAGAAGUCAGAAAACAUACCACGCGAUCAUGGAAGACAGCUUCCAAGGUCUUAUCAUUCUUAUCUCCAUAAUUGUUCUCAUAAAGCCGGACACAACGGACCUUGAUGACAGAGGUAGGCACUUUAGGCAGAAGAUUAUUAACCAAGUAAUCAUCUUAAAAAAUUUCAAAAAUAAUGGAAGCCAAGGUACACAUAUUGCAUGGAAAACUAGAAUAAGAGGGAGAAAAAGAAAAACUCAAACGCAGGAGCAGUGCAAGGUAUCAAGAAUAACACAAAUGCAGAUAUUCAAGCUGCCUCUCUUACUCUCCAGUCAGCAGAUAAAGGAGAGAGAAGAAGAUAGACAACCGCCUCUAACUCCUCACUCUACCAUCAUUACUCAAAAAGCAUCAGGGUGAUAGUAGGCGUGGCUUCCCUACAACCUACUCUACUGCAUCAGCAACAUAUCAACAUGUGGACAUAAAUAAAUCAAGAGAAUGCAUUGGAAACUGAGGAGUGAAUCAGACAGCUAUGGAAGAAUGGAAUAAUUAUA
Molecule: long non-coding RNA, 1159 nt
Organism: Salvia splendens (bonfire salvia)
Lineage: Eukaryota; Viridiplantae; Streptophyta; Magnoliopsida; Lamiales; Lamiaceae
Exons: 8
Source: RefSeq, a predicted model, not a curated record